AAAUGAUGGUUCAACUCCUUCCCCUACUA
This 29-nucleotide transfer RNA is filed under the name Cotinga cayana (spangled cotinga). RNAcentral's name for it is "partial tRNA-Met". The record is from RNAcentral. Lineage: Eukaryota; Metazoa; Chordata; Aves; Passeriformes; Cotingidae.